Molecule: long non-coding RNA, 5695 nt
Filed under: Phaseolus vulgaris (common bean)
Lineage: Eukaryota; Viridiplantae; Streptophyta; Magnoliopsida; Fabales; Fabaceae
Description: long non-coding RNA (PVUL_LNC002623)
Source: RNAcentral
CAGCAACUGUGCAUAUGAAUCCAAUCACAUACUUUUUCUUGGAUAUUUGUGAGGACUGUGAAUCAUCUGAUGACUCGUUUUGAAAUACAAGAAGGGUGGAGGAAAUGGUAAGAAGGACUAAAGAGUUUACUAUGUAAGGUGUGAACUUGAGUGAAUUGAGGAAGUAUGAGAAGAAAGCAUUAAAAGCCAACUGGGAUGAGCAAAUGAGUGAGUAGGUUGAGACAGGAAGGUACCAUAGCCCAACUGAAUAUAAAUAACAACCUAAUGCCAGAAGUAGGCCAAUUGAGACAUAGACAAAUGCUAGCAUUGAAGCAGAUGGCUGAUUUGGAUGAAUGCUAUUGUUUGUUGCCAAAUUUUUGGGUGCUGAGAUGAAGUAAUAAGGAAGCAGAAUAGGGAAACCACCAAGUUGAACAAGUGUUCCCAUCCACUUACUCUUUCCACCCUUUUCAUAGUACAAUCUUCCAAGGAGUAAUGCAGCUGAUCCACACACCAACACAAGUGCAGAAUGGAUGGCUAUUCUGAACCAACGGUAAUACAUUCUUUUCCUACUCAUUGUUGACUCAUUCAUUGGACCAUGAAAACUAUUGUCCUCCAAGAAAUGUGUUUCUUUGACUCCAUUAGCUUAAAGAAAAACAUACCAAAUUAUGAAUAUAUAAACUUAGAUAAUAUAUCAUAUUAGAUUGGACAGAGCUGUUAUGUAUGCUUCUGAUUUGUUUCAAAAGAACUCACUUCCUCAGAAGCAGAGUUCCUUUGAUAUGUAAACUCCUUUUCUUCUUCUACUACUAUUAUUAUUAUUUCUAUUAUUGUUCUUGUUGGUUGAUUACAGAAAAGCAUCAGGGUGCUUGUGUUUGAUGCUUAAGCAGUUGACAUGUCACAAGAAUUGCGUCUUGAUUGAGAUAUAAUUGGAAGUGUAGCUAACAGUGUCUAUCAUUAGAAAAUGUUUUUUAUUGUUUUUGUCUUCUGUCUCCAUGAAUAAUUAUAAAAUGUUUUCUUCCUGUUUCUAAAGAUUUGGAAAAAGGUUGGUUUACUAUGUUGUUGUAUAAUGAGGUGAAAACAAGAAAAAUAGGGAUAAAGUAACUUCGUUAUAAACAUAGAAAAUAAAAAAAAAAUUCAAACCUAACAGGUCCUAACAUAGAUUAUCACGUUCAAUGAUUUUGUUAAUUUUAAGUUGUUUGGUAUGGAAUCUUUGUUAUGUCUAAUUCGGCGAUUUACAUUCUAGAGGAACCACCCAAAUUAGGACCAAAGUUUCUCGUUACAGGCAUGGAAAUUACGAAACACUUGAACAUAUGUAAGUUGGGCAUACACUGAAAUGGAAGAUUUCUUAGCCUAUAAUCAAAGUUAAACAUAAAUAGGUAGAGUGAAUAUGAUGCACCAGCAUGAAAAGUCAUAAUAAGGUAUAAUUAUAAAGUGGACUAUAAGUUUAACUCAAUCCCAUAAAACCGGCUCAUGGGGGGUAAGGUUUGCACCCACUUAUAUACAAUGUCCUGAUAUGAUCAACAAACAUUCGCUAGAAUAAGUUUUGAAUGACUCUGAUAUCAAAUUACAAAGUGGACUUUAAGCCUAACUCAACCCCAAAACCGGCUCAUGGGGGUAAGGUUUGCACCCACUUAUAUACAAUGACCUGAUAAGGUCAACAAACAUUCACUAGAAUAAGUUUUAAAUGACUCUCAUACCAAAUUACAAAGUGGAUUUUAAGCCUAACUCAACCCCAAAAUCGGCUCAUGGGGGUAAGGUUUGCACCCACUUAUAUACAAUGACCUGAUAAGGUCAACAAACAUUCGCUAGAAUAAGUUUUAAAUAGCUCUGAUACCAAAUUACAAAGUGGACUUUAAGCCUAACUCAACCCCAAAACCGGCUCAUGGGGGAUAAGGUUUGCACCCACUUAUAUACAAUGAAAUACUUUAAUCUUUAGUCGAUAUGAAAUCACUAACAUGUAUCUUUAUGAUCUUAAUUUUGUGACUCUAACCCAAUAGAACUUUGUUGUUUUUUAAGACAAAAAGUUGACUUACCAAUUUUGCUAAGAUGCACUUCUUGAGGGUCUCCCAUGUGGAUGGUGAAACAAGUUUCAGGGGAGUGUUGCACUUCUUGAGCUUCUUCCAUGUGGAAGGUGAAAUAAGUUUUGAGAAGAGGGAAUUGGAAAUGAAGAUAGAGUUAAGUGGAGAGUGAUCCAAAAUGCAAUUUAUACAUAUACAUUUCUAAAUGUCAUCAAUAGAGAGAGAAAUUGUACCAACUUAACCUCCUCAACUUUGCCUUAAUUACUAUUAGUACCUCUAUGUUUGUAGCCUACACAUUACAAUAUAAAUUUCCUAGACUUUUAUGUGAUUGAUGUGUAUUACUAGUAUAAAAAUGUUCUUAAACAAUAAUUUUUAUAAAACCUUUAGAUACGCAUUUUACCAUCGUAAUUUAUAUGAAUAUGUUGUUUAUAAUUCUGAUUUAUAAAUGAUGACUAUACAUAGUAAUCUAUUGAUGUCAUAUUGGUAUUAAUUAUUUUAAUAAUUUAUGUUUAUUUUUUAUGUAAAAUAAAAUCAUAAUAUACACUUAAAAGAUAUAGACGACGGUUAUUCAUAGAUCAUGUUACAUCUAUCUUUUGUGAUAUAAAUUAAAGUGUAUGUGAUGUGAUAUAUGAAGUAUAAAUACAAAGGUAUAUUGGAAACUUAUAAUUUUCAUGAGAUACGAUGACACGGUUAUAUAUGUUGAAUAUUAUUAUAAAAUUAUUUAAAACUAUAUUCAAAAUUAUUUUAAAAAGUUAAUCAAACAUAAUAAUUUAAAUACGAUGUUUUCUAAUAUAAAAAAUAUGGUCUAAUUCAUUUCUAUAAAAUUUUAAAUUGAAUAGAAGAUGUACUUAUUUAAGAUAUUUUUCACUACUUUAUCAAUCUUUAUUAUUGAAAAAGAUACAUUUUGAAGUUAGAUUCAUCUAAAAUAAUAUUUUUUAAAUUCGAUACUUGAGUAAAGUGUUGACACAUGUUGUGUUGAACACGACGAGUUUCAUGGAACGUGAUAGUUUGUUAAUUAUUCAACAAAACGUGGUAAUGUGUUUCUCAGCGUAAGUUUUUACUCUACCAUGCAUCUCACUGGCCGGACCGGGUCAAAUUCUUCUUCCACCUAAUGGCACAUUCAUAUUUUUAAAAAUAUAGAAAUUGUUGGUUCUUAAUUUUAUAAUUUGAAAUGUAAAUUUAAAAUAUAAAAUUUUACAUCUUGAAUGCUAGAAUUUAAAAUAAAAAAUUUGUAUUUUACAAUCAGUAUACAAAUAUAUAUUUCAAAUUCUAUGAUCCAAAAUAUAAAUAUAGAUUUCAAAUUCUAUGAUCCAAAAUAUAAAUUUUGGUUUGUAUUAUGGAUGGUAGAAUAUAAAUUUUGUAUUCUAAAUUUUAAAAUUUUAUAUUUUGAAUUUUAGAAUUCAGAAAAUAAAUUUUGUAUUUUUAAUGUAAAGUUCAUGAUACAUUAAAUUCAUUCAUUUAUAUUUUGGAAUAGAAUACUAAUUGUUUUUUAUUUUGAAUUUCACAAUCCAAAAUACUACAAGUUUUUGUAUUCUGAAUUGUACAAUCCAGAAUACAAUUCUCUCUACUUAGACAGUGGGGAUGUUGUGGCAAUGACAUUGAACGUAGGAGGUGCUGUGGUGGUGCCGCUAGAGGUGAAGACACUACUAGAAAGGCUUGGUCGUGGGUCACCGUCAGGUCUCACUCUGUCCUUUUCUCCUUUUUUGACUCUGGUUUGUACGAGGAUGGUUUAUUGAUGUUUUUUUCCUGGUGUUUUUUUUUAGGUGGGUUCUUUGGGUCCAAUCACGUGAGUUGUUUAUAGGUGUCUACAAAGUGGUUUGGUUUGGGUGGGGAGGCUUAGGGUUUAUGUUGUAUAUAAGGGUUGAACCACCAUAAAGUGGUUCACAUUUAUUUAUUUUUUAUUGUCGAUAAAAAAACUAAAAAAUUAAUUUUAAAGACAAAAAAUAAGUAGUUGUCGUUAACUAAAUUAGAUACUAAUUUAGACACUAAAACAACUAUUGGUAUCUAAAUUAGUUUUUAUUGUUGAUAAAUAAUUUCUAAAUUGGUAUCUAAUUAGCUACCUAAGUUUUAACUAUCAAUUAUUUAGAUUCUAAAGUUGGUAUUAAAACUAGGUAGCUAAUUAGAUAUCAAUUUAAAAAUUAUUUAUCAAUAAUAGAAACUAAUUUAGAUACCAAUAAUUUUUUAGUCUAUAAAAUAGUAUUUAAUUUAGUGAAUAUAACAAGAAAUUAUUUUUUAUUUCUAGAAUUAAUUUUUAUUUAAUGAUUUUCUUAUAAUGAUAGAGAGUUACAACUAGAGGUGUACAUCCUGAUAGAUAAGUGAAAGAGAGAUGCUCAAUAUAUGGAGAUGCAUAGAAAAUAUGUGCAGAGAAGUAGGAAGAGUUGCCCUUUUGAGAGAUCAUAUUUAUUGAACUAGAGAAAUAAAUGGAUAUAAUUGUUGAAUUGCAAUUGCUUACAAUUGUAAAUAACUUGGCCCAAAUAUUGAAAUAAUUUCUAUAGAUUAUUAACGAUGAUUGAUGAUAAGUUAAAUACACUUUUCAUGGUCUGAGACAUAUUAUGUCUCUUACUUAUUGAGUUCUAAAAUAAUUUAAUUCUAUGUUGUGCAAUGAAAUUGGAACCAUGAUAUCCAUUAUUAUAUAAAAUGUACCUAUGCAAUCGUUUAUUCAAUUUUGGUAGCAGUAUAUAAUUUACAAAAGUAAAAACACAAUCUCUUUGCAAACAAUUUUGUUGUUACACUUGCACAAACUGGUGAGUCAUUUGUAAAGUUCUACCUCACGUGACCAAAACUCAAGGCAAAUAGUGAACGACAAGAUUAUAAUAGAAGAUUUGAUAUGCAUAUUUGUAAGUGUUGUAAAUUUGUAAUACAAACAGGGAUAGUGUUUCUAAUAAAAAAGCUACCAAACUCAUCUAUGAACCUCUUCUAGAGGUACAGAAUCUUUUGAAACAUGACUAGUGAUUCUGUUUUCGGACUUUGUAUCAUCAAUGUACUGUUGAUACACAUAUGACAUGAUGCCCCAAAUAGCUAGCACCAUAGAGAUAGCCUUAAUACCAUGCAUUUUGUCAUGAAAGAUUAUCACUGCCAACAUUGGAACAAUAGGCACUCCCAAAACGCUUAUGGCAUUUGAAAAGAGGGAAGAAACCUCACUAAUGAGUCCCAAACAACCAAUUGUGAAGAGUUGCCAAAGUAUGGUUGUGAAAGUGAGGUUCAACACAUAUGUAACCUUCCCCAUCUCAUACUCAUUCAUUUCAUUCUUCAAACUUUUCCACUCUCCACUAGCAAAAAGUCCCACUACAGUCACACAGGUAGCUACAAAAGACGUGUAUACUAUCAUAUCCAUGACCACUUUGAAUGUUUCCUUUUUUAUAACCUUCUUGAACACCAGUUGUGUGAGGGAAAGCCACAGUCCAUAACCUGCUGAUGCAGCAACUGUGCAUAUGAAUCCAAUCACAUACUUUUUCUUGGAUAUUUGUGAGGACUCUGAAUCAUCGGAUGACUCGUUUUGAAAUACAAGAAGGGUAGAGGAAAUGGUAAGAAGGACUAGAGAGUUUACUAUGUAAGGUGUGAACUUGAGUGAAUUGAGGAAGUAUGAGAAGAAAGCAUUAAAAGCCAACUGGGAUGAGCAAACGAGUGAAUAGGUAGAGACAGGAAGGUACAAUAGCCCAACUGAAUAUAAAUAGCAAUCUAAUGCCACAAGUAGGCCAAUU